RNAcentral lists this ribosomal RNA (2081 nucleotides) under Salmonella enterica subsp. enterica serovar Enteritidis. RNAcentral describes it as "partial 23S ribosomal RNA". It matches the Rfam family "Bacterial large subunit ribosomal RNA", at positions 741 to 2803 of the family's 2925-position model. Lineage: Bacteria; Pseudomonadati; Pseudomonadota; Gammaproteobacteria; Enterobacterales; Enterobacteriaceae. The record is from RNAcentral.
CAGGUUGAAGGUUGGGUAACACUAACUGGAGGACCGAACCGACUAAUGUUGAAAAAUUAGCGGAUGACCUGUGGCUGGGGGUGAAAGGCCAAUCAAACCGGGAGAUAGCUGGUUCUCCCCGAAAGCUAUUUAGGUAGCGCCUCGUGAAUUCAUCUCCGGGGGUAGAGCACUGUUUCGGCUAGGGGGCCAUCCCGGCUUACCAACCCGAUGCAAACUGCGAAUACCGGAGAAUGUUAUCACGGGAGACACACGGCGGGUGCUAACGUCCGUCGUGAAGAGGGAAACAACCCAGACCGCCAGCUAAGGUCCCAAAGUCAUGGUUAAGUGGGAAACGAUGUGGGAAGGCCCAGACAGCCAGGAUGUUGGCUUAGAAGCAGCCAUCAUUUAAAGAAAGCGUAAUAGCUCACUGGUCGAGUCGGCCUGCGCGGAAGAUGUAACGGGGCUAAACCAUGCACCGAAGCUGCGGCAGCGACACUGUGUGUUGUUGGGUAGGGGAGCGUUCUGUAAGCCUGUGAAGGUGUGUCGUGAGGCAUGCUGGAGGUAUCAGAAGUGCGAAUGCUGACAUAAGUAACGAUAAAGCGGGUGAAAAGCCCGCUCGCCGGAAGACCAAGGGUUCCUGUCCAACGUUAAUCGGGGCAGGGUGAGUCGACCCCUAAGGCGAGGCCGAAAGGCGUAGUCGAUGGGAAACGGGUUAAUAUUCCCGUACUUGGUGUUACUGCGAAGGGGGGACGGAGAAGGCUAUGUUGGCCGGGCGACGGUUGUCCCGGUUUAAGCGUGUAGGUGUGUGUUCCAGGUAAAUCCGGUUCACUUUAACACUGAGGCGUGACGACGAGGCACUACGGUGCUGAAGCAACAAAUGCCCUGCUUCCAGGAAAAGCCUCUAAGCAUCAGGUAACAUCAAAUCGUACCCCAAACCGACACAGGUGGUCAGGUAGAGAAUACCAAGGCGCUUGAGAGAACUCGGGUGAAGGAACUAGGCAAAAUGGUGCCGUAACUUCGGGAGAAGGCACGCUGACACGUAGGUGAAGUGAUUUACUCAUGGAGCUGAAGUCAGUCGAAGAUACCAGCUGGCUGCAACUGUUUAUUAAAAACACAGCACUGUGCAAACACGAAAGUGGACGUAUACGGUGUGACGCCUGCCCGGUGCCGGAAGGUUAAUUGAUGGGGUCAGCGCAAGCGAAGCUCCUGAUCGAAGCCCCGGUAAACGGCGGCCGUAACUAUAACGGUCCUAAGGUAGCGAAAUUCCUUGUCGGGUAAGUUCCGACCUGCACGAAUGGCGUAAUGAUGGCCAGGCUGUCUCCACCCGAGACUCAGUGAAAUUGAACUCGCUGUGAAGAUGCAGUGUACCCGCGGCAAGACGGAAAGACCCCGUGAACCUUUACUAUAGCUUGACACUGAACAUUGAGCCUUGAUGUGUAGGAUAGGUGGGAGGCUUUGAAGUGUGGACGCCAGUCUGCAUGGAGCCGACCUUGAAAUACCACCCUUUAAUGUUUGAUGUUCUAACGUGGACCCGUUACCCGGGUUGCGGACAGUGUCUGGUGGGUAGUUUGACUGGGGCGGUCUCCUCCUAAAGAGUAACGGAGGAGCACGAAGGUUGGCUAAUCCUGGUCGGACAUCAGGAGGUUAGUGCAAUGGCAUAAGCCAGCUUGACUGCGAGCGUGACGGCGCGAGCAGGUGCGAAAGCAGGUCAUAGUGAUCCGGUGGUUCUGAAUGGAAGGGCCAUCGCUCAACGGAUAAAAGGUACUCCGGGGAUAACAGGCUGAUACCGCCCAAGAGUUCAUAUCGACGGCGGUGUUUGGCACCUCGAUGUCGGCUCAUCACAUCCUGGGGCUGAAGUAGGUCCCAAGGGUAUGGCUGUUCGCCAUUUAAAGUGGUACGCGAGCUGGGUUUAGAACGUCGUGAGACAGUUCGGUCCCUAUCUGCCGUGGGCGCUGGAGAACUGAGGGGGGCUGCUCCUAGUACGAGAGGACCGGAGUGGACGCAUCACUGGUGUUCGGGUUGUCAUGCCAAUGGCACUGCCCGGUAGCUAAAUGCGGAAGAGAUAAGUGCUGAAAGCAUCUAAGCACGAAACUUGCCCCGAG